This 125-nucleotide small RNA is filed under the name Marmota monax (woodchuck). The record is from RNAcentral. Lineage: Eukaryota; Metazoa; Chordata; Mammalia; Rodentia; Sciuridae.
GCUGGGUGUGGUGGCGCAUGCCCGUAAUCCCAGCAGCUCAGGAGGCUGAGGCAGGAGGAUCACAAGUUCAAAGCCAGCCUCAGCAAAAUCAGGGUGCUAAGCAACUCAGUGAGACCCUGUCUCUC